CCUCAGCUCCCCUUUUGGUAAGUAGAGGUAUGGCUUUUCACGGUUCUGCUUCGCUUGAAAUUCCUUUUUACAUUUUUCAAAGUAUGCUUUCACAUCAGAAGCAACUGAUGCGGUUAUCUCCUCGUCAGUCUUCUCAUAAGGCAACUUUUCACAGGAUGCUUUAGAGCCAGAGGGAGCCUGAGCCUGCUUCUUUCUAGGAUAUGGGACCGAAGCCUUUGGUG
RNAcentral lists this long non-coding RNA (221 nucleotides) under Sorghum bicolor (sorghum). RNAcentral's name for it is "long non-coding RNA (SBIC_LNC010105)". Lineage: Eukaryota; Viridiplantae; Streptophyta; Magnoliopsida; Poales; Poaceae. The record is from RNAcentral.